UUGCAGCCAUCUCAUGUUGAAACAUUGGUUCCUGUAUGAUCACUGAAGUUAAGCAACGUUGAGCCUGGUCAGUACCUAGAGGGUGACUGUUUGAGAAUACCAGGUGU
Molecule: ribosomal RNA, 107 nt
Filed under: Acanthosepion pharaonis
Lineage: Eukaryota; Metazoa; Mollusca; Cephalopoda; Sepiida; Sepiidae
Source: RNAcentral